GCCGUCAUGGGCUAUGUAGGCCUGCCCCUUGUGAUUAGUUUGUGCUAGUUAACUUGAACGGGGCAACCGGGGGUUCGAUUCCUCCCGACGGCA
This is a non-coding RNA of Mycena polygramma, 93 nucleotides long. The record is from the annotation of a GenBank genome assembly. NCBI's taxonomy places the organism in Eukaryota, Fungi, Basidiomycota, Agaricomycetes, Agaricales, Mycenaceae.